RNAcentral lists this long non-coding RNA (6812 nucleotides) under Taeniopygia guttata (zebra finch). RNAcentral describes it as "lncRNA (ENSTGUG00000025046.1)". The record is from RNAcentral. Lineage: Eukaryota; Metazoa; Chordata; Aves; Passeriformes; Estrildidae.
GAUGCAAAGAACUUGUUUGGUUCUGAAAGGCAACAUGUUAGCACUUAGCCUCAAAAGAGGACCCAGGUUUGGGUGACCACAGUCUGGAGGAAGGGACUAGACCUUUCUCAAUAUGUCUAUUGAAGGUAAAUUGUAAAGGCACCUUAACCCAUAGCAUGCCUGGUUUCUGAUCCUCUUUAAAGGGUGCAAAACCUCAUCUGUCUUCUGUAUCAAAAGCAUGAGCUUCAGGUGCUGGUUCCCAUGUCAGUAGCCCUGACUGGCUGCUGCAGCCUUGCAGUACCACAGCAAACUCAGGACUCCAGAGACAGUCGUGCAGGCAGGGUAGGAUGGACCAAGGAUCCACUUUCAGCUUCUCAACUUGGAUGUGGACCAUACAAGAAGCCACUUUUAGUUUCACAAAGCAGCACCCUGAUGGCUUCCCCCAGCAUCCAAUGCAGACUAAAGCUUGGCUUUGAACUUAGGAACUAUUACCUCUUGCUGCUAGGGAAGUAUAAUAAAGCAUUUAAAAGGAAAUAAAGAGUGAUGAACAGCCUUCAAAAUUACACAAUUGAAAUCUAAUAGAAAAUAUGCUUCUGGUGUCAGAUACUUAAUGAUUAUAACACCACCAGAGAAAUAUAUGUUUAAUGAAAUUAAGCAUUUUAAUAGAUUGAAGAGGCUAACCUGACCUGGCAGUCAUGAAAGAGAAAGCGUGUUUUUAAUGCAAAGCAGUCUUGUCAAAGGAUUUACUUUCAGAACACUCUUUUUGUAAGAAAAAAAAAAUACUACUGCUAAGAAAACCUCAUGUAUUAUCAUUCUAAAUAUAAAUCUGCUUUCUGGAGGAAUACUGAGUAAUCUGUUCUGAUCUUUAGGAUGAAAUAUUAUUUUUACUUCAGCUCAAAACAACACUCAACUCUUUAAUGGUCCAAAUUAAAAUAAUCAUCUUGCCCAUUGCAGACAGAAAGAACUUUUCUAAACCAACAUUACAAAAAUUGGGUUUUUAUUUCAGGAAGAAUUUAAGAAUCAUGUUUCUCUUUAGAUUGAGUACUUGAUGAUGUUAAAAAAAAGAAAAUAUAACAGAUGAGUGGUUAUCUUGUCAUAACCUAAAUGUGCUUUAUUCUCUGAGGAUGACAUCACAUCCAAAUAACUUUUCAGAUGCCCUGAGCAAUGCAGCAAACCAGUCAAGGUCCCCCAAAAAAAUUCAAGUGUAUUCACCAAACAGGUCACCAUGGGACUGGGAUCAUGCUGUGAAGAUGGUAAAAAUCUAUGUUUUAUUUCUGUGCAAGUGUUAAUUGCAGGGACUCUCCUGCUUUUUAAGUUUUUCUAAAGCUGAUACCUGCCAAGAAACACUGCUCCACGAUCAGCCAGACUGAUAAAGUCUGAUAAAGACUGAUAAAGCCUAAAGUUCCAUGAGGAUCCACCUCCCUCCUUGAGCCAUGCUGCAGACUUUCUAGAGAGCCCCCAUCUCCUCCUCCUCCUUCUCUUCUCCCAUGCUGCAGACUAUGCUCAGGUCUCCCCCACUGCCUUCUCCCAGCAGUGGAUGCCCUUCCUCAUACUAGAGAAUGAGGAACAAGCUGAUAUCACAGCUUCCUUCAGCACAAGCCUCUGUGAAUUUGUCUGUGAGGGACACUGCUCUUCGUUCACAGGAUGUUUUGUCCUUAGAAAUAUUUCACAACUAUGAAAGAAGAAAAAGGAUCCAUGCCAUGAGCUCUGUCUGCAAACUCUCUCCCACUUCUUGGCAGUGGAAUUUAUUAGUGGUGCUUUUGCACCAUCAUGCUCUCCCAGGAUGAAAUGAUCAGUUGUUUUAAUUGUUUCUAAUUAAUACACAAUUUAAAAAAAUUUUCCACAUCAAAUAGAUUUUUACAUUCUUCAGUAGUGCCAGAUGGACAGAGCCAUCUGUCAGAGAUUAACAUUCACUAAAGGACAGCUAGUAUUUAAAAAAUUAACAAUAAUGUAACAUUUUUAAAAUUUUUUGCUUCGUACUCUGGUUGAACAAACAAUUGCAUGUGAAGCUGGUCUUAUUUUUAAAGAUCAUCAUUUGUGAAUGCUUUUAUAGUACUUCACUGAAUUUGAAACACAAGAUCGUUGGAUGAUUAGCCCAUUUUUACAGCUUGGGGACAUUUCUGAGGGUAUCAGAUCUGGGGUGAUGCUGCAUAAAAAAAUUGGAGAACUAGAAACCAUACAGCUAUUGACAAGUCAUGGAUUGCUGCAGGAAAGAGUAAAGCCCUGAAAUGAAGUGUCGUUUCCUUUGAAUUGAGAAGAAGAACCUGGAUAAAAGUUAUCAAAAGCAUUGUUUAAAUGAUGGACAUUGCCAUUACUCCAGGCUCCCUUCUGGAGUUCGUUUGUAUUUUUUCUCCUCGUUGUUCCACCACCAGCCAAAGCUUUGCACCGAGGGGUCCCAAGUCCAAGCCUUGGCACAAAGGGCUGAGGGAGAGGCCUUUUGGCUGUCACAGCCCACUCUGGUGCCACACCCCUUGGGCCACUGCCUGCCUUGGGGACUGCUCCCCCAAGGCUGCCCUGCCAGCCUCAGCCCAUUUUGCCAGCCCUGCAGCAGUGCUUGGAGCCUUGCAGAAGCUGCCCACCCAGCUGGUGUUACAGCCAGCAGUAGGUACGUUAUCCUCUGUGGAGGGGAAAGCAGAAGGUAAAUCCCCAGCUUUCCAAAAGCUCAGCCUGCUUUUUCAGUGUUAGCAGCCCAGGGUAAAAGAUCUUCCUGGCACCAACAUGCUGAAGAGGUUUGGCUUGUUAGGUGCAGGGACUUGUGUAGUCUCUGCAUGGUGUAACACUUUAUGGGCACUGGAGAUAGGACUUGCUGAACCAGGUUGUCCUUUCCUUCCCACAUUUCUAUCACUUAAAUCUAUCAAUGUCAAAUUUGUCUAAUUUUUUUUUUUCUAUUUCCACUGGAGGGAUGAAGCCAAUAAAAGACUGAGAUUUCAGGGUGCUUAAAAAAAGAGAAAGCUACCUAAACUUAUUUUAAAAGACCAUUUCAAUAAAUAAACAAUUUUCAAACUUGUUGCAUCUAAUAAAAGACCCAAUAGGUAUUUCCACCACUGGCAGAAACUACCUGAGAAUUUGGGGUAAGUGACCAAGGUUUCACAAAACUGAUCAAGGGCAAAUGGAGAGACUGGGUUAAUAAAGGAGGAACAGAGAUGCAAGACAACUGCAGACCAGUUGGCUGAUCUUUAGAACCCACAAAAACACUCUAAGAACAAACCAGGCUACUUGUACAUACAGGAAAGGUGCCAAGCAGAUGAGUGAUGGCAAAUAAAGAUUAAUGAGGAAAUAACAUUUCAAACCUUUGCAGGUUCCUUCUGUGAGAGGAUAAAAAUGGAAACUAUCAUUCUACAUAAGCAAUAGAUGUGCUUUGACUACAGUAAAGCUUUAGCAAUUUCUUAUAUGGGGUGUUAUAGGGGGAGGUGACUUGAGUCUGCAUGACACCAUUAUAAGGAUAGUUCAGAGCUGGUUAGAAAGCUUGCUUCUAAGAGUCAUUGCCAGUAAGUUUCUUGUCAAACUAGAAGGAUGCAUUAAGUAUGGAUUUCACUGAAGCCAGUCUGUGGUACUACACUCUAUCUUCAUUAACAGAUACUGAGCUCCUGAUAUACUACUGAUAAAUUUGGAGAGGAUAGAUAGGUUAGAAGGACUUCUAGCAUACAGGAGACAACCUAGGAAUUCAAAGUUAUCUAGCCAAACUGGAGAAAGUAUCUGAAAAACAGGAGGUAGUUUGAUAAGGACAAGAAAAAGUGCAGACCUGACAUGGCUUUCUAGAACAGCAGAUAUUUAACAAGGCAACACUUGGUAUACAGUUGUUCUGUUGAAUUUAGGUGUCAGUGUGUGUCACAGUGACUUGUUGCUAAGGAAGGGGAAUCAUCAUCCUGGGUCACACCGUGCAGUGGUGACAUAUGUGAAAAUAUGAAGUUAUAUUCCCCCACACUUGGCACCAGUCUGGUAUCAGCACAAAUGAGUCAUUUUGGAUGCUCCAGUUUGAGGAAGUGUUGACCAGCAGCCUGGAGGAAAGCAGCAAGAGGAACUAGUCAUGGUGUAGAAAAGGAUGGAGAGAACUGGGGCUGUUCUGACAGGGAAGAAAAAAGUGAGAUUAGAUACAAUAAGGUCUUCACAAUCAAAACCAGCAGCUGGAAAGGAGAUGGAAAAGUUUAGUAAGUCUGCUGGGAUAGGAAAGUAAAUAAGAUUAAAUUGCAGUGAAGAUAGCUCAAUCCAAAUGCCUCCCAGAAAAGGCAGCAAAGCCCUGGCAGGACCAUACUGGAGGCUAGGGAUCACCACACCAAAGGUUUUCCACGAACACAGCGGGGAAACAACUGCCACAGGCAAUUUAAGCUUAAUUCAGGGCAUCCUGAAUGAGAGAUGUAUGGUGGACCUCCCAAAUGUCACCUAAUGUAACACUGCUAUCUCGCCAAAUGCCUGCAAGGGCAGCAAGGCUGCUGAAGGGUCCGGAACACAAGUCCUGUGAAGAACAGUUGAGGGACUGGAGUUGUUUAGCCUGGAAAAAAAGAGGCUCAGGGGGGACCUCAUCACUCUCCACAGUGCCAGACAAGAGGUUGUAGUCAGGUGGGGGUCAGUCUCUUCUGCCAGGCAUCCAGAGACAGAAUAAGAGGACACAGUCUUAAACUGUGCCAGAGGAAGUUUACUCUGGACAUCAGAAAAAAAUUCUUCACUGAAAGAAACAACGAUUGGGCACUGGAAUGGGCUGCCUAGGGAGGUGGUGGAGUCCCUGUCCCUGGAGAUAUUUAAAAAAAGACUGGAUGUGGCACUCAGUGCCAUGGUUUAGUUGACAAGGUUGUGUUCGGUCAUAGGUUGGACUUGAUGAUCUCAAAGAUCUUUUCCAACCUAGUUAAUUCUGUGAUUUUGUGUAAAGACUCAGAUAGAGGUCACUAAUGUCUUUCUGCUAUCAAAAGGAAGCCGAGUACCAUGGUUUUUACUAUAACAAUGAGGAAUCUCAGGCAUAGAUCCUUGCUUGGACAAAAGUUCAACAUCAAGCACAGAACUGGGCAAGAAGGCCGGUGCACUCUCACACAGAAUAUGCAACCCCAUCACCAGGGAUCUGGAAAAGCAAUUGCCCAGCAUUGGAUAAAAUGAUCAAUAUUUUUUGAAUCAGGGCUUAUUGUUGUGUCAAUGUCAUGUUGCUCAGGGAAAUAUUCAAGAAAAACAUGGAGUUGUGUUUACAGAACAGUUUAGAAAAAGUUUAAUUCCUUUCAUGAUAUGUAGACGUGAGAGAAACUUGGAAGAUUUCAUUGUCUUUCAUUUACAUGUAAAAUUGAUGCACCCCUCUUACUCUUUACUUUUCAGAAGGUAAGGUAUUUGCCUGCAAUACCAGAAGGAAGAGGGCAGCUAAAAUAAGACUUAAUUCUUCUGAUCUAUAGAUGGGAGGGCUGAAGAAGCUUUGGCAUACUCUGAAACAUCUCAGGAGAGCCAAAACAGAAUGCUAUUCCUAAAACAUCCUUACAAAGCAUUUUGAAAGCUCAUGAUGAAAAAUAGCCCAUGGCAAUGACUGUACCAGUACCUGACUGUGCUACAUCAGUGACACUGAACCCAGCAUGUCAAGGGUUACAACUAUCCCACAUCAUAUCUGGACAUUGUGCCCAGUAUUACUCCCACAGUCAAGAAGAACAUCAAAAAACUGGGGGCAGCCAAGCUGGUUUGGGGGUGGAGGGGGUUAAGUGCCUCAAAAUGGUUAUAGGAUUGGAGAACUUGACAUGCCUUGAAAAAAGGCCAGAGGGAUUUGGUUCAUUCAGCCUGGUGAAGUGAGGGCUCAGGGGGAUUCCAUUCCUGCCUUCCAGUGUUAGAUAUUGAGAGAUGAAGGCACUCUCUUCACGAGGAUUCACUGUGAUGGGCAAAUUUUCUCUCCAGGCACAAAACAAACUUUUCCUGUGAGACCAGCUAAAGGCUGGGACAGGUUGUCUGGAGGUGUGGUGCCACUUCCCUUGAUGGAACAUGCAGGGCUUAGUUUGGCAAUGCCCUAGAUCACCUACGGCCCUGCUUCCAACUCACACAGGUCUGACUGCACUUUCUGAUCCUGGUCAGUCUGGGCUUUCCCCCUCAGUUUUUGUUUCUCUCAGCAUAACAAGAUGCUGGAGAGUCCAAGACACACUGUCUCUUACCUCUGUUUUACCUUUCCUCCUAUGAGGGUACAGCUCUGCAGUAGCCGUAGCCAGCAUCAAAAGAGCAUCUUUAGCACCCUGUCAGCUACAUCCAUGCAACAACAAUAUAAACACAGACACAGCAGCUGCAGUACCCAUUUCAGCACACACCUUCCUGCCCUGGACAGACAGCAACACCAGUGCUAGGUCUGCAUUCCUUGGUAAGGACUAGUGAUGGCACACUCCAGCACACCAGGAGCUGCCAGGGCCCAGAUGCUCUCCAGUGAUAAAAACAAUCCAGCAUGGAAAGAGAAAAAUAUAAAUUUCAAAAUUUCUUCACUGGGCCAACUCUGUUCCAGGCAGAGACAGUUGGGGGAAAAAGAAGUGGAAAUGCUCUUUUUUCUAUUCUAUUUUUGUCUCUUCCAGCAUAACUUUUUAGAUCCUCACCUUCUGACUUCAUUCUGGAAUGCUGCUUAAGAAUAAAUUAAGAUGGAUCUAGCCUGAGAUUUUUCUCUCAGAUAAAUAUGAGCUUAGCUAAAAGAAACUAGUUAUGGAAAACUCAUAUGUCAAGAAAAUAAAGAUGUGUUAAAAUUUUUUAAAAAUCCCAGCAGCUUGACUCCUAUUCCUGGUUUUAGUGAACAGAAUAAUCGUAUAAAAUUAACUGAAAAUCAGAUAAACAAAACUUCUGCUUAGGGCUAGACAGCAUGGACAUUUAUCUCCAGAUACAAUUUGAGCGCAUCUUCUUCA